CUUUUAAGGGGCUCUCCUUACCCACUCCCUUCUUGCCUACGAUUUCUUGGUUUAUAAUGCCCCUUAAAUGCCCACCGCACUCGUUCAUAUCUUCGACACGAACCUAAAAACAAAUUUCCCUUAGGAAAUUAUUUAUGUUAUUCCUGAAUGCAUUCAUCUUUGUUCCCAGCAAUCAGCUGUUUGAAGUUUCUAUAACAAAGAUGGAUGACAGAACGAAGGUGACAGACAUCCCAUGAACAAGAAGAAAAAAUAUAACCAAAUAGGUACACCAAAUAAAACAAAACAAAUUGGAAAACCCUCCAUUUCUAUAAUUUUAAUUAUUUUCCAUCAACCACCACACUAUUGAAACAACAAUCCCAUCCGUAUUGACGUGUUCGCAGCUUGGCCUUGACCACACGGAUGCGGGUGAUCUGUGGCGAUGGUAAGAGCUUCCCAACUGUGGGUGCUUCCUGGUCCAUUUAUCUUCGUCAAUAGCACGACAAGGCAGCCACAACAAAACAUCGGUUUUGCCAUGGUGUUAACGCGGCAGAGACGAUGGAAGGAUGCCUCAUAUGUACCAAUGUUUUCGAACGGUGGGGACUAACCCACUUACCCACAAGCCGGGCAAUACCUUUUUUGUGGUCUUUUCCCAUUUUUAGGUGAAAAAUUAUAUUACUUGGUUUACUCAAGGCUGACGAUUUAUCGAAGAUUUAUGGUUACACUACCUACUAAAACUAAAAUUUGGUGAGUGAUCUAGCCACUAAUUAGGUUAAGCAUUACCUAUUUGUUCUUGUACUAGUUUAGUAACAGUAUUAUCAACGAUACUUCCAAUCUAAUUUUGUAAGGCGUUUUGUGUGCGAAAAAUAAAAACAUUGUUAAGAUAC
Episyrphus balteatus (marmalade hoverfly) is the source of this 863-nucleotide long non-coding RNA. RefSeq lists it as uncharacterized. The record is from RefSeq and is a predicted model, not a curated record. The transcript has 3 exons. Lineage: Eukaryota; Metazoa; Arthropoda; Insecta; Diptera; Syrphidae.